RNAcentral lists this ribosomal RNA (253 nucleotides) under uncultured bacterium. RNAcentral describes it as "partial 16S ribosomal RNA". It matches the Rfam family "Bacterial small subunit ribosomal RNA", at positions 524 to 776 of the family's 1533-position model. The record is from RNAcentral.
UACGGAGGGUGCAAGCGUUGUCCGGAAUCACUGGGCUUCAAGGGCGCGUAGGCGGGCUGUCAAGUCUGGGGUGAAAUGCCGCGGCUCAACCGUGGAACUGCCUUAGAUACUGACGGCCUCGAGGAAGGUAGGGGCAUGCGGAACUGUAGGUGGAGCGGUGAAAUGCGUUGAUAUCUACAGGAACUCCGGUGGCGAAAGCGGCGUGCUGGACCUUUUCUGACGCUGAGGCGCGAAAGCUAGGGGAGCAAACGGG